RNAcentral lists this unclassified non-coding RNA (339 nucleotides) under uncultured fungus. RNAcentral describes it as "sequence contains ITS1". The stretch from base 1 to 103 matches the Rfam family "5.8S ribosomal RNA", at positions 50 to 154 of the family's 154-position model. The record is from RNAcentral. Lineage: Eukaryota; Fungi.
GAAGUGCGAUAAGCAAUGCGAAUUGCAGAACCGUGAGUCAUCAGAUUUUUGAACGCAUCUGGCGCCAAUUGGCUCUCCAAUUGGCAUGCUUGUUUCAGUGUCUCUUUAUCUCAUCACCCAGAUCAUAAUGCGAGAGAUGCCCUUCUCUUGCUAAGCAUGAAAGCACUCUGCGCUCUGCGAGCGACUUCGACUUGUUCGAUGGUCGCACUCAAUGCAGCAGUCACAUUGCUCACAAUGUGAACUCAUUGAGAGCUGAGGCAGUGCAGCGUAAGCUGUAAGUGCUUAGUCAUACAAACUUACUUGCAUCUGAAAUCAAGCAGGAUCACCCGCUGAACUUAA